This is a non-coding RNA of Neogale vison (American mink), 73 nucleotides long. Lineage: Eukaryota; Metazoa; Chordata; Mammalia; Carnivora; Mustelidae. The record is from the annotation of a RefSeq genome assembly.
GCCCGGCUGGCUCAGUCGGUAGAGCAGGUGAUUUUUGAUCUCAGGGUCGUGGGUUUGAGCCCCAUGUUGGGCG